Long non-coding RNA from Hemiscyllium ocellatum (epaulette shark), 535 nucleotides. RefSeq lists it as uncharacterized. The record is from RefSeq and is a predicted model, not a curated record. The transcript has 4 exons. NCBI's taxonomy places the organism in Eukaryota, Metazoa, Chordata, Chondrichthyes, Orectolobiformes, Hemiscylliidae.
UUUCGUGCGUUCCUCCUCGCGACUCGACAUCCUUCGAGAGUGGGGGGGGGAACACGGUGCGAAUUAAACACCGCAACCAAAUCGACUUUUUUCAAAAAAAAAGUGAUUGCGUCGAAUCAGUCAGGUGAAUCUCCGUGAAGGAAAAAGGUGAAUAAGGAGCAGAAAUCAUGGGCCGUGGUGUCUGAAAAGGAUAAACUCAAAGCAGCUGCUAAAGAACUAAGUGAGGCUGUCCACAGUAAUAGCAGCUCACAGGUCUGAAGCUAUUUUUCUUGUUUUGGGAUGGAAAUUUACCCCAAUCUCACUUCUGACGCAAUGUUUCAAAUACACAACAUGAAAGUGUGUUCAAUACAAGGAGUUUAUUGCAGUGAAGAUGCAAUAUAUGCCGACAGGACUACCAUGUUUUCUUCUGGACAUGUCUUCAAUAAUAUUUGGCCUGUUAAUAACAGAUCCAAGCUCAUCCCUCAGAUAUCUGUGUGCAGUGUGUUUAUAAUUGUAACUAUCAACCAAAUAAAGGAUCUAAUUGUUAUUUUUGAAA